UCUAGAACCUGCAGGAGAGGAGAGAGGAGGAAGAAUCAUCAUCUUUGGGUGGGAUCUGAUCUGAGGCGAAGCUUGUCCUUAACAUUGAUACAGUUGUCAGUGUACCAGAACGUUGUUGGGGGAAGACUGAGGCUGAAAGGGAAACCACUCCAAGUUCUUAAAGCUAAAGCCGAAGCAGAUGUCAUUUCCAAAAAGAAGAGGAAGAAGCGCAAACACCGCUAUGCCUCCCACUCCCUGGGUUGACAGAACACAAGAUUGUCAACAGAUUCCACAGACGGCAGCGAAGCUAAUGCUUUUGAGGAUCAUCUUACUCCAGCGGAGAGAAAAUUCCUACAGCGGAGACGAGAACUUGAGCUCCAAAGACUGGAAAAGAUGGCGAUAAAAUCACACCAUGAUCGCAUUCUGGAAUUUAACCAAUAUUUAGCUAAUAUAACUGAGCAUUAUGACAUUCCUAAAGUUGGCCCUGGUUAAUUUGCCUCAACCUGUCAUAUGUACUUGUUCCAGUUGAUUAAUCGAACUGAAAUGUAUUUCAGAGUU
Hibiscus syriacus is the source of this 537-nucleotide long non-coding RNA. RefSeq lists it as uncharacterized. The record is from RefSeq and is a predicted model, not a curated record. NCBI's taxonomy places the organism in Eukaryota, Viridiplantae, Streptophyta, Magnoliopsida, Malvales, Malvaceae. The transcript has 3 exons.